GCAUAUCAAUAAGCGGAGGAAAAGAAACUAACAUGGAUUCCCCCUAGUAACGGCGAGUGAAGCGGGAAGAGCUCAAAUUUGAAAUCUGGCAGUCUUCGAUUGUCCGAGUUGUAAUCUAUAGAGGCGUUUUCCGUGCCGGACCGUGUCCAAGUCUCCUGGAAAGGAGUAUCAAAGAGGGUGAUAAUCCCGUACUUAACACGACCACCGGUGCUCUGUGAUACGUCUUCUACGAGUCGAGUUGUUUGGGAAUGCAGCUCAAAAUGGGUGGUGAAUUCCAUCUAAAGCUAAAUAUUGGCGAGAGACCGAUAGCGAACAAGUACCGUGAGGGAAAGAUGAAAAGCACUUUGGAAAGAGAGUUAAACAGUACGUGAAAUUGUUGAAAGGGAAACGAUUGAAGUCAGUCGUGUUCUUUGGAUUCAGCCAGUUCUGCUGGUCUACUUCCUUUGAACGGGUCAACAUCAGUUUUGUCCGGUGGAUAAAGGCAGUAGGAAUGUAGCUUCUCCGGAAGUGUUAUAGCCUAUUGUCACAUACACUGGGUGAGACUGAGGACUGCAGCUCGCCUUUAUGGCCGACCUUCGGGUACGUUCGAGCUUAGGAUGUUGACAUAAUGGCUUUAAACGACCCGUCUUGAAACACC
Molecule: ribosomal RNA, 637 nt
Filed under: Trichosporon coremiiforme
Lineage: Eukaryota; Fungi; Basidiomycota; Tremellomycetes; Trichosporonales; Trichosporonaceae
Description: partial large subunit ribosomal RNA
Rfam family: Eukaryotic large subunit ribosomal RNA
Source: RNAcentral